RNAcentral lists this ribosomal RNA (460 nucleotides) under uncultured bacterium. Its description in RNAcentral is "partial 16S ribosomal RNA". It matches the Rfam family "Bacterial small subunit ribosomal RNA", at positions 338 to 795 of the family's 1533-position model. The record is from RNAcentral.
CCUACGGGCGGCAGCAGUGAGGAAUAUUGGUCAAUGGACAAGAGUCUGAACCAGCCAAGCAGCGUGCAGGAUGACUGCCCUAUGGGUUGUAAACUUCUUUUAUAUGGGAAUAAAAUGUUCCACGUGUGGGAUUUUGUAUGUACCAUAUGAAUAAGGAUCGGCUAACUCCGUGCCAGCAGCCGCGGUAAUACGGAGGAUCCGAGCGUUAUCCGGAUUUAUUGGGUUUAAAGGGAGCGUAGGUGGAUUGUUAAGUCAGUUGUGAAAGUUUGCGGCUCAACCGUAAAAUUGCAGUUGAUACUGGCAGUCUUGAGUACAGUAGAGGUGGGCGGAAUGCGUGGUGUAGCGGUGAAAUGCUUAGAGAUCACGAAGAACUCCGAUUGCGAAGGCAGCUCACUGGACUGCGACUGACACUGAGGCUCGAAAGUGUGGGGAUCAAACAGGAUUAGAUACCCUAGUAGUC